Long non-coding RNA from Solenopsis invicta (red fire ant), 1655 nucleotides. RefSeq lists it as uncharacterized. The transcript has 2 exons. The record is from RefSeq and is a predicted model, not a curated record. Lineage: Eukaryota; Metazoa; Arthropoda; Insecta; Hymenoptera; Formicidae.
CGCCAAGGUCGGCUUGAAGGGCAAGCCCAGCGAGCACCAACAGCGGUGUGACGAUAGAAGGUUCGUGAAGGGGAUGGUGAGGAUGGAGGCUCUCCACCCCGCCGCCAUGCCUGACGACAUUGUCACGCAGUUGCAGAUAUCAUGAUUGCGGCUGCCCAAAAAGUGUUUGAUCACGCAAUAUUUUUCCAUUACGGAAAUACUCGAUAGAGAUUCUGGUUCCUGAAGAAAUUUGUGAAUUGUCUAAACAACUCGAGGACGCAAACAUUGUAUCACUUACAUCAUCUAAGAUAUUAUUAAGAUGACCGUGAAGAGGAAGAGUUCUUAACGAACACUAUAAAAGAAUGAGUCCGCAGUUUCGCUCGGUUCGUUCAUUGGUUGAAGAGAACUUGAGUUGGAAACUAGUUUCCGUGCGGUUCAGGUAGAAGGUAGAAGUAAAUGAGGAAUAUAAUUUUUGUAUCACAAAUAAAUAUCUACACGCGUAAUGUAACUUAUCGUUUCCUAUAAAAUAGACGAUGGAAUUUGUGUGAAUUUGUUAAUUGCAAUCUCUUUUUAUGUCGAUUAACGACAGAUAAUCAGGUUCGCUACAAAAUUAUUGUUCAAAUUAAUUUUCUAACUAAUGGAAUUUCUAAUAUGAUGUAUUUUUCUCUUUUUGCUUCUACUCUUUUCGCUUAUUCCUCCUUCAUUUUUCCUCUGUUUCUAAUUAUGGUAAAACUGCGAGCAAUAAAUAAGUAGCUAUACUUACAUGUGUAUGAGAGUUUCGCCAAUUCUUUGGGGCGUAUUUACUCAGCUUAUUCUCAGGAUCUACAAAUAAGUACUCGCCGUCUGAAACGAUAAAAAUAAUGUUUGUUUCAGCGCAAGAGCAUUAAAUCCCGCUUUAAAAAUAUUUCUAAAUCCGAGAUUGAAUUUAAAUCGACAGUAAUUAUGAAUGAAUUUAUAAUUUUAGGUGCUGACGUAUCGCGCGUUGAAUUUCGCGGAAUAAUUGAGCUUUCGUGCAACACGUAUAUACGCCUCUAUAGUUUUCUUUGGUAUGUUGUGUCCACGGAACUCGAAGAUUCAUUUCCUUCGCACGUUCUUUGGCACGAUUGACAACGCGAGAUGCCGAUACUCCAUAAACGAGUGAAACAAUGAAAGAGGCCUGGCAAGAAGACGUUAGUGAAUGAGAGGGCCUCAAACCUGUCCAGCCUACAUGGUGCCAGACGCUCGAGCUCUUAUGGCACGAUAACGUGACAUGUUUUUCACGCUGGAACCCGAUUUGAAACCUCGAAUGCUGAUCGUGGAACCGUAACCAGAGUUCGGGCCCUCAAGGCGCAAUCUGUGCAAUCUACAAUUCCCAAUGCGACCGUCGUGCUGGCGAACUUGUUGAAGUCGCUGUUACAUGCAAAUGUAAAACACCGUUUUUCAUGAUCGAACAAUAGUGCUCAUGAAUGUGGCAUAGAUUUGUCUUCGACAGUAUAUACCAUCGGCAUCCGAAAUUGGUAACAAAAACUCUAACCAAUGUUUCUUUUCUUCUCUCGUUCAACUUUCCAUGUAUUAUUUGCUCUUAAGAACAAGGAUUGUUAUAAAAUUCGUAAUUGAGGUUUCGAAUGCAUUCUAAAUUGUAAUUAAUAUAAAUUUAAAUAACACGUAGAAUGUUCAUCCGCUGUUCAUAAAAAUUA